This is a long non-coding RNA of Sinocyclocheilus grahami, 110 nucleotides long. RefSeq lists it as uncharacterized. The record is from RefSeq and is a predicted model, not a curated record. NCBI's taxonomy places the organism in Eukaryota, Metazoa, Chordata, Actinopteri, Cypriniformes, Cyprinidae. The transcript is spliced from 3 exons.
AGAGCAAAAGGUUUUUAUUUACUAACCCCUCUGUCUUUCCUGAUUAAAUUACCCGCACUAAAGACUUCAAAGGCUCUCUGUUUUACUGUGUGAUGUCUUUGUUGCAUUCC